GAAAACGGAAAAUAAAAACAGCAGACCUAUGAAGGUCGAAGGGGAAGAAAAGCUGUAUCGAUUGUUGAGAUCUGGCGACUUGUUUAAAUUUCAUCAGCCUCACUUCUAUGAACUCUCAGGCCUCACGUGUACCAGCUCUCUGCUCUCCUUUGCCUUGGGACGUUCCAUCCCUGGAAGUUUCCCUGCCCACAUCUUUGUAGAGAGUCCAUUCUCCAAGCUUCAGUGUGUCAUCUGUGAGGACCGUGACCCACCUGGUACAUCGCCUCAGGGCAUUCAUUUCAGGCUCCUUCUAAAUGGCCAAGUUUUCAAGAUUGUUUUGGCUCUAGCAAAACAAGUUGGAACAUUCACAUCAUCCAGCCAUGAGAGAAGCAGUACCUUAUAAUGGUUCCUUGUUCAAAGCACUCAAUAUUCCUAGGAUGUGGUCUCCCAGCUGACUUCAUAACUGAAUCAUCAGUAAUUAAUUUCAUUGUUCUAUUAGGACUUUACUGAAGACUCUAAGGAGGACCUGUAUCUGUUGGGAUCCUCAGGGCAAGCCACAGAAACAAGCUUUGGAUACUAGAAGCAGAAAAUGGAGAUAUUGAAGACUAUUGUGGAGUUUACUGUGAGCCAGAGAACCAGGCUGGGGGGCUGUAUCACUUAGAAUGAGAUCCAAACUCACACCAUAGUUCCAUCCUUGAGGUUGCCAUGUUGCUGCCACCCCUCCUGCCACCCCACCACUGAAGCUUUGGAUGCUGGAUUCUGGGCACAGCAGGGAGAAGUGUUGCUUAUUACCAUUUUAGUAUGUUUUCUUUCAAGACCUUUUCAAAAUAUACAUACGUAUUUUUAUUUCUAUUCAAAAUGGGAUACAUUUUUGAAGGUUAGCAAUAUAUUGUGAACAUUUUCUUUCCAUGCUCAGAAACAUUUUUCUAUAAUGUAAUUUAUAGUGAUAUAAACUAUCUCAUAGACCUA
Molecule: long non-coding RNA, 948 nt
Filed under: Homo sapiens (human)
Lineage: Eukaryota; Metazoa; Chordata; Mammalia; Primates; Hominidae
Description: testis expressed 41
Source: RNAcentral